CGCUGGUUCCGUGCCUAAUAGAACAAGUCGAGCGGAUCUCGAGGAGCUUGCUCCUUGAGAUUUUCGCCGGACGGGUGAGUAACACGUGGGCAACCUGCCUGUAAGACUGGGAUAACACCGGGAAACCGGUGCUAAUACCGGAUAAUUCUCUUCCUCCCAUGAGGGAAAGCUGAAAGUCGGCAUCACGCUGACACUUACAGAUGGGCCCGCGGCGCAUUAGCUAGUUGGUGAGGUAACGGCUCACCAAGGCGACGAUGCGUAGCCGACCUGAGAGGGUGAUCGGCCACACUGGGACUGAGACACGGCCCAGACUCCUACGGGAGGCAGCAGUGGG
This 334-nucleotide small RNA is filed under the name uncultured bacterium. Its description in RNAcentral is "bacterial SSU rRNA". It matches the Rfam family "Bacterial small subunit ribosomal RNA", at positions 34 to 358 of the family's 1533-position model. The record is from RNAcentral.